AUUGAACGCUGGCGGCAUGCUUUACACAUGCGAGUCGAACGGCAGCACGAAAGAGCUUGCUCUUUUGGUGGCGAGUGGCGAACGGGUGAGUAAUGCAUCGGAACGUACCGAGUAAUGGGGGAUAACUGUCCGAAAGGAUAGCUAAUACCGCAUACGCUUUGAGAAGGAAAGUGGGGGCUCUUCGGACCUCACGUUAUUCGAGCGGCCGAUGUCUGAUUAGCUAGUUGGUGGGGUAAAGGCCUACCAAGGCGACGAUCAGUAGCGGGUCUGAGAGGAUGAUCCGCCACACUGGGACCGAGACACGGCCCAGACUCCUACGGGAGGCAGCAGUGGGGAAUUUUGGACAAUGGGCGCAAGCCUGAUCCAGCCAUGCCGCGUGUCUGAAGAAGGCCUUCGGGUUGUAAAGGACUUUUGUUAGGGAAGAAAAGGAUAGUGUUAAUACCAUGAUCUGCUGACGGUACCUAAAGAAUAAGCACCGGCUAACUACGUG
RNAcentral lists this ribosomal RNA (490 nucleotides) under uncultured bacterium. RNAcentral describes it as "partial 16S ribosomal RNA". It matches the Rfam family "Bacterial small subunit ribosomal RNA", at positions 30 to 507 of the family's 1533-position model. The record is from RNAcentral.